RNAcentral lists this long non-coding RNA (8648 nucleotides) under Homo sapiens (human). Its description in RNAcentral is "non-protein coding MIR155HG:5". The stretch from base 966 to 1030 matches the Rfam family "mir-155 microRNA precursor family". The record is from RNAcentral. Lineage: Eukaryota; Metazoa; Chordata; Mammalia; Primates; Hominidae.
AUUCUGGGGAUGAAAGGUCACCCUAGAAUUGCCUAUGGGCAAUUUCUUAUAGUUCAACCUAGAAUGAGAAAUGGGAAAUUCAGAAAGGCAUUGUAGGCAUCUGUAACCAGCAGAGGGACGUGCCCCACCUGGGUGGGGACCAUGCAUCCUUGCCACAUGCCCCACUGCACAACUUCCCCAGCUCCUCAACGUCACAUGGAUCUGGAAAGCAGGGAGACUGGACUACGGAGCCAGCCCUCCAGGGUUGGAACUGAGUUUGAAUCUCAGCUUGACUACUUACUAGGAUCUAAGGGACCUGCUGGUCUCCAGCUGAUUCGGUCCAGGAGGAAAAACCUCCCACUUGCUCCUCUCGGGCUCCCUGCAAGGAGAGAGUAGAGACACUCCUGCCACCCAGUUGCAAGAAGUCGCCACUUCCCCCUCCAGCCGACUGAAAGUUCGGGCGACGUCUGGGCCGUCAUUUGAAGGCGUUUCCUUUUCUUUAAGAACAAAGGUUGGAGCCCAAGCCUUGCGGCGCGGUGCAGGAAAGUACACGGCGUGUGUUGAGAGAAAAAAAAUACACACACGCAAUGACCCACGAGAAAGGGAAAGGGGAAAACACCAACUACCCGGGCGCUGGGCUUUUUCGACUUUUCCUUUAAAAAGAAAAAAGUUUUUCAAGCUGCGCGGGCUUCCUGUGCGCGGCCGAGCCCGGGCCCAGCGCCGCCUGCAGCCUCGGGAAGGGAGCGGAUAGCGGAGCCCCGAGCCGCCCGCAGAGCAAGCGCGGGGAACCAAGGAGACGCUCCUGGCACUGCAGAUAACUUGUCUGCAUUUCAAGAACAACCUACCAGAGACCUUACCUGUCACCUUGGCUCUCCCACCCAAUGGAGAUGGCUCUAAUGGUGGCACAAACCAGGAAGGGGAAAUCUGUGGUUUAAAUUCUUUAUGCCUCAUCCUCUGAGUGCUGAAGGCUUGCUGUAGGCUGUAUGCUGUUAAUGCUAAUCGUGAUAGGGGUUUUUGCCUCCAACUGACUCCUACAUAUUAGCAUUAACAGUGUAUGAUGCCUGUUACUAGCAUUCACAUGGAACAAAUUGCUGCCGUGGGAGGAUGACAAAGAAGCAUGAGUCACCCUGCUGGAUAAACUUAGACUUCAGGCUUUAUCAUUUUUCAAUCUGUUAAUCAUAAUCUGGUCACUGGGAUGUUCAACCUUAAACUAAGUUUUGAAAGUAAGGUUAUUUAAAAGAUUUAUCAGUAGUAUCCUAAAUGCAAACAUUUUCAUUUAAAUGUCAAGCCCAUGUUUGUUUUUAUCAUUAACAGAAAAUAUAUUCAUGUCAUUCUUAAUUGCAGGUUUUGGCUUGUUCAUUAUAAUGUUCAUAAACACCUUUGAUUCAACUGUUAGAAAUGUGGGCUAAACACAAAUUUCUAUAAUAUUUUUGUAGUUAAAAAUUAGAAGGACUACUAACCUCCAGUUAUAUCAUGGAUUGUCUGGCAACGUUUUUUAAAAGAUUUAGAAACUGGUACUUUCCCCCAGGUAACGAUUUUCUGUUCAGGCAACUUCAGUUUAAAAUUAAUACUUUUAUUUGACUCUUAAAGGGAAACUGAAAGGCUAUGAAGCUGAAUUUUUUUAAUGAAAUAUUUUUAACAGUUAGCAGGGUAAAUAACAUCUGACAGCUAAUGAGAUAUUUUUUCCAUACAAGAUAAAAAGAUUUAAUCAAAAAAUUUCAUAUUUGAAAUGAAGUCCCAAAUCUAGGUUCAAGUUCAAUAGCUUAGCCACAUAAUACGGUUGUGCGAGCAGAGAAUCUACCUUUCCACUUCUAAGCCUGUUUCUUCCUCCAUAUGGGGAUAAUACUUUACAAGGUUGUUGUGAGGCUUAGAUGAGAUAGAGAAUUAUUCCAUAAGAUAAUCAAGUGCUACAUUAAUGUUAUAGUUAGAUUAAUCCAAGAACUAGUCACCCUACUUUAUUAGAGAAGAGAAAAGCUAAUGAUUUGAUUUGCAGAAUAUUUAAGGUUUGGAUUUCUAUGCAGUUUUUCUAAAUAACCAUCACUUACAAAUAUGUAACCAAACGUAAUUGUUAGUAUAUUUAAUGUAAACUUGUUUUAACAACUCUUCUCAACAUUUUGUCCAGGUUAUUCACUGUAACCAAAUAAAUCUCAUGAGUCUUUAGUUGAUUUAAAAUAAUUUUUAUGGCCCAUUUUCUUUUGCAAAGUACAAAUUAUAAUUCCAGAAGCUAUCUGCCAAAAAAAGACAAUGGAAGAAAAUUAUGAGGACACUAAAGGGAACAUUCCUGACUCCUAGGACACAGUAUUCUCAUAGGGAUUCCUCCUGACCAGUCAUUACAAAAAUUCUUGGAGCAUGAGCAAGACUGAGUCUGUGUUUGGAUUGGAGGAAGGGGUAAGUAACAAGGUAUAUAUAUGUAUAUGUGUGUGUGUGUGUGUGUGUGUGUGUGUGUGUGUGUGCGCGCGCGUUUGUGUUUAAGUUACAAACUAAGGAUGGUUUUAAAAAAUUGCAAAAUGUUAAGAGAUUUAUCUAGGAUCUGACCCACUUCCCCAGAAAUUUACGGAAUUCAAGACCAAGCCUUUCGUAUUCACUGUCAUCAGUUAGAUGGACCCAGUAGCUAAAAAAUUAAGGAGAAAAAAAAUAGAGGAAUAUGAGGGAAAAAGUCAAGUCAGAGGACUGAAGAAUAUAUACAGAACAUAGAAUAUUAGAAAUUUUCUGAAAAUAGAUGAUAGCAAAUACCUCAAGAAAGUGAGGAAACGUGAAAAGGGAGCUUAAAGAAAAAUAAUAGAGUCCAUACAUGGGACACAAGCACAAAAAGCUGACUGAGCAUGUGGUUCUCUACUAAUAAUAACUGGAAAACAGUGAAACCAGCAGGAAAAACUUGCACAUAAGAGUUUAACUUUCCACUUUGGGUUUCAAAUUCUCCCAUAGCAAUAAGAGUAAGUGAAAUAAUGUUCACAUAAGGAUUUUUUUUUUUUCUAUUACUGUAGUGUUUUGUUUUGUUUUGUUUUGGUUUUGGUUUUUGGUGGUUUUUUUUUUUUUGAGACAAAGUCUCGCUCUUGUCCCCCAGUCUGGAGUGCAAUGUCAUGAUCUUGGCUCACUGCAACCUCCGCCUCCCGGGUUCAAGUGAUUCUCCUGCCUCAGCCUCCCAAGUGGCUGGGAUUACAGGUGCGUACCACCACGCCCAGCUAAUUUUUUGUAUUUUAAGCAGAGACGGGGUUUCACCAUGUUGGCCAGGCUGGUCUCGAACUCCUGACCUCAGGUGAUCCAUCCAUCUCAGCCUCCCAAAGUGCUGGGAUUACAGGUGUGAGCCACCGCACCCGGCCUGUUACUGUAGUGUUUUAACAAAUCUAAGUGUAAUAGUAUUAGUCUUCAUUCAUCUAAGACAUACAAGUACUGGAAUUUUUUAGGUGGGUUCCUCAAAUGUCAUCACAGUGGUGUCUUCUCUACAUUCAGUCACUCUUCCGCCCUUCUCUGUAAUGCUCAGGGAUUUCCCAGUUCACUAGCACUUAACAUAGUAUGUCCUUACUUACUUUGGGGUAUAAAUGACUGCAAUAGAAGAAGUGAUAUCCUUGAGGGAUGAAACACGAUCUUGCAUAUUCAUAUCCCUUUCAAAUGUUUACUGACUUAAUCACACCAUUAGUUUUCUAAGUCCAAGUCUAAAAACAGAAAUGAGUUUAAAUACAGUGAACAUUUCAUUUUCACUAUACCACUAAGCUGAAAGAAAUGAUUUUUGGUAAAUAAAAGUUCAUCACAGUGAAAAGUUCUACAUAUAACUGAAGAUCAAAGGAUUCUCACCUGGGAAGCUUGUCAAGAUGCAUGUUCCCAAGCUCCCAGGCUCCCACUCCCAGAGAUUCUAAUACUGUAAUGGAGCUGAGGACACUACAUUUUUAACAGGCUGACCAGGUAGUUCAGAUUCAGGUGGUUCCUAAACCAACUCUGAGGAAGUAGUGGUUUUAUAUACGAUGCUACUGUUGAUGUGGCUACUAGGAAUGGUGCUCAGCAGAAAUCCUGCAACAUAUGGAUCUGUUUACACACUAUUCACUGUGUAAUGAGAGUCUGCAACAUAGGCUAAGUAAUAAGAGAUGUCUUGUGGUUGACCUCUCUGGAGAUAAGCAGCAAUGAAAUUCCAAUGAAGUUUCAUCAUCUCUCAUCACCAAAACCAUCCUAACCACCUCAAUAAAAUACACCUGACUUCCCCCGCUCCCCCGACCCACCACCCCAAAACCAGCUGCCCUAUGUUCUACCAAAAGCUGCAACCAACCAAUGACCUGAUACUAACCCCAAUCUAUCAGCUGCUGCCUAGUGCAACAGAGAGGGAAAGUCAAUGAGAAGGAAUUGGGUGCCAGUUCUUGCUUUGCAAGGAGUGGGUUGACUAAUGAGACAGCCACAAAUGUCACUGCCAUCCCAUCUCACCCUUUCACCUGUGCUGCAAGGCUUCAACAAUCAUACCCAGUCUCCACUUAGGAAAAUUCUGUCCUUUCUCAAAUGCUGGCCACUCAGCAAUGUGCUCCCUUAAUCCAGGCCAAGCACAUAGUAAAAGAACUCCAAAAAGGGUUACAGCCAAAAGUGAUCUUUCUCCUCCAUACUCCCAAAGCAGAUUAUAGCUCCUCCAUAAACGUGCUUCGCAUUGUGCCCCACGUUUGGUUUGUUACUUGUGUAUACAUUAUCGUCUCUUCUAGAUUGAGCUUCUGUAGGAAAGGAGAAUCCUUUUCAAUUUUUUGGUAUUACACCCAGCUCAGGACCUUGCUCAGUUGCUUAAAUUGAAUGAGAAAAUGUAUCUAAGUACCCACUGAUGUUGGAAAUUCAACUUGUUCCAAUAUUGAGGACUGCCUAUACCUGGCAUAUGCGUGUCCCAAUUUGAGAAAUUGUUUUUCAAGUUGACUUGUAUGGAUUCCUUACAGACGCUCAAGCAUCAGUUUGGUUUUCCCUAAAUCCUGCAGAUCAGGAAGGCAGUAUCCAUGUUUGCUUUAAGAAAUUUCAUUACUAUAAAUAUAUGAAAUAUUAUAAAUAUAAAAAUUCAUAUAUUAUAAAUAUAUGAAAUUUUGUCUGCAGAAUUUUUUUCUCAACAGGCAAUCCUGACAUAAUAACCAAUUUUGAGAUGCUUCAAAAAUAACACUGCAGUAGUAGCCACUCCUAAAACAAAAUAUUUCCCCUUUCCUUCAAUAUAUGUAAUCACAUAUGACAUAUAAAAUCUGCUUAUUGGAUAAAUUUAUCUUUAAAAGACUAUCUAUAUUUAUUAAAAGUUAAAAUACAUAUACUCUUUGACCUGGAAUCAAGUACAACAAUGUAUUUUACAGAGCUACCAGCACACGUGUGGAAUUAUAUAUGUACAAGGCUACUAACUGAAGUAUUAGUAUAGUAACAAAAAUUAAAAAUCAACCAUAAAUAGGGAAUAAAUAAUGGUACACCUAUGAAUGAAAUACUAACUUCUAAAACACAAAGUAAAAAGAAAGGGAAAAUAAGGAAAACUGGAUUAAUCCAACAUAUGACAGGAAAGGAGAAAAAAAUAAUGCAAAGAAAUGAUAAUCACAGUAAAGUGAAUACAAAUUAAAAUUUAUCUACUAAAAGACAGUAAUUCAAAGACUAGAUUUAAAAGGAAAAUAAGUUUUAUGCUAUUUACAAAAGACAGACUUAAAACCUAACAACAUAAAAAUGCUGAAAGUAAUAUACCAGGUAAACACUAAAAAAAAAAAAAAAAAAAAAAAAAACUAGUAUUAACAAUAGAACCUGAUUUUCUAAAAAAUAGAUUAAGAAAACUAGAUUAAAGGAGAAAAUCAUUAUUACCGAGAUAGAGAGGAUCAUUACUUAAAUGAUAAAAAGAAGCAAUUUAUCAGCACGUUUAAAAAUCCCAAAACAGAAUACACAGUGCUAACAAAAUCAUCUUAAAAUAAAAUAAGCAAAUGCUGAUUUAGCCAUAGGAGAAACCGCCAAAUCCACAAUCAUUUUAGGAGAAUGGGUUUAAGAAAGGAAAAAAAAAAAAAAGAUUUCUGUAUGCUCUUAAGAGAAAAUCUAAAAAAUAAUGACAUGAAAAAGUUGAAAGGAAUGGAAAAAUAUGUACCAUUAAAAGGAAACCCGACGUAUGAAUGCCAUUAUCAGACAAAACAGAUUUUUUUCUUUUUGAGAUGGAGUCUCACUCUGUGGCCCAGGCUGGAGUGCAGUGGCACAAUCUCUGCUCACAGCAAGCUCCGCCUCCCAGGUUCAUGCCAUUCUCCUGCCUCAGCCUCCCAAGUAGCUGGGACUACAGGCACCCACCACCACACCAGGCUAGUAUUUGUAUUUUUAGUAGAGACGGGGUUUCAUCGUGUUAGCCAGGAUGGUCUCAAUCUUCUGACCUCGUGAUCUGCCCACCUCAGCCUCCCAAAGUGCUGGGAUUACAGGCAUGAGCCACCGCGCCCAGCCAGACAAAACAGAUUUUAAGACAACUAAGAAGUUAACAAGCUGACCCUACAAUAAGCAUGAAAAUUUUGAAAAAGAAUAGGAAAGGAGAACUCACCAUAAGAGAAAUUGAAACUUGUUAUAAAGCUAUAGUUGUUAAAACGGUGUUACUACAGUGGUACAUGGACAGAUAAAUGGACCAAUGAAGCAGACCCAGGCACUGAAAGGAACCUUUUAUAUGACAGCAUGGCACAAUCAGUAAGAAUAGAGAGGAAAUAGGCCAGGCACGGUGGCUCACGCCUGUAAUCCCAGUACUUUGGGAGGCCAAGGCAGGCAGAUCACCUGAGGUCAGGAGUUCGAGACCAGCCUGGUCAACAUGGUGAAACCGCGUCUCUACUAAAAAUACAAAAAUUAGCUGGUCGUGGUGGCAGGCACCUGUAAUCCCAGCUACUCGGGAGGCUGAGGCAGGAGAAUCACUUGAACCCGGCUAGCGGAGGCUGCAGUGAGCCGAGAUCACGCCAUUGCACUCCAGCCUAGGCAACAAGAGUGAAACUCCAUCACAAAAAAAAAAGAAAAAGAGUAGACAGGAAAUAAAUGGUCCAGAAUAACUGCCUAUCCUUGUGGAGGAGAGGGUGAUUCAAAAUUAGGUCCCUUUCCUCACUCUAUAUGCAAAAAACAAACUUCAAAUAAAUUAUACAAUUAAAUGUGAAAAUCAAGACUUUAAAAUAAACAAUGCAGUAGGCUGCUUUAUAAUAUCAAGUUAGGGAAGGCUUUCUUAAAUUUCAUAAACAUAAAUCAUAGAGGAAAAGAUGAACUGUCUACCUUAAAAUUAAAGACGAUAUAAACAAAAUUAAAAGGUAAGCCAGACAAAAGAAAUAUUUGUAGUGACAACGGUUUAACUUUCUUUCUUUCUUUUUUUUUUUUUGAGACGGAAUCUCACUCUGUCACCCAGGCUGGAGUACACUGGUGCAAUCUCAGCUCACUGCAACCUCCACCUCCCAGGUUCAAGCGAUUCUUGUGCCUCAGCCUCCCAAGUAGCUGGGAUGACAGGUACGCACCACCACACCCAGCUAAUUUUUUGUAUUUUUAGCAGAGACGGGGUUUCACCAUGUUGGCCAGGCUGGUCUCGAAUUCCUGACCUCAGGUGAUCCAUCUGCCUCAGCCUCCCAAAGUGCUGGGAUUACAGGAGUGAGCCACUGCACCUGGCCCACAAGGGUUUCACUUUCUAAAAAUAUAAAGAACUGGCCAGGUGCAAUGGCUCACACUUGUAAUCCUAGCACUUUGGGAGGGCAAGGAGAGCAGAUCGCUAGAGGCCAGAAGCUGGAGAACAGCCUGGCCAACAUGGUGAAACCCCAUCUCUACUUUAAAAAUAUAAAAAUUAGUUGGGUGUGGUGGCACUUGCCUAUAAUCCCAGCUACUUGGCUACUCAGGAGGCCGAGGCAGGGGAAUCGCUUGAAUCCAGUAGGCAGAGGCUACAGUGAGCCAAGAUCAUGCCACUGCACUACAGCUUGGGCAACAGAGUGAGACUUGGUCUCAAAAAAAAAAAAAAUUAUAUAUAUAUAUCUUAUAUAUAUACACUAUUAUAUAUAUACACACACACACACACACACACACACACACACACACACACAAUUAAUAUGAGAUGCCCAAAAAUCCAAUUGUAAAAAGGGGCAAAGGUUGUAAACUGGUAAUUCAUAAAAACAAAUGAAGAGAUGCUUAUUGGUACUAUAUGCUCAGUAUUAAGCAAAUUAAAUGAGAUAGGAUCGUGCAUAUUCAACCAACAAAAUAUCUGAAUGUCUGAAAAUAAUAAAUGUUAAUGAGGGAGUGGAGAAAAUGGGAAUGCUCAUACUGCUGAUAGAGAGUAAACUGGUACAACUAUUGUGGCAGCCAAUUAAUAUUUAGUAAAGCUGAAGAUGCAUGGUCCACUGUGGUACAGGCCCUGGAGAUAUUAUCAAAUGUGUACACAAAGAAACACGCACAAGGAUAUUUUCUGCGAUACUGUAAUACUCAAAAGCCAAUGACAUCCUCAGUGGUCAUCAAUAAGAAAAUGAAUUAAUGAUGGGAUUAAUCAUAUAAUGAAAUACUAUAUAGCAGUUGAAAUGAAUGUACUCUUUACAUGUAUCAACAUGCUAUACAUAAAAAACAAUGAUGAGCAAUAAAAGCAAAUUGCAAAAGGAUAUAUAUUAUGAAACCAAUUAUGUUUAGUUUUAAAACACAGAGAAUACUAUGGAUUGUAGUAAAAAAAAAUAUAAAAUCAUGAAGAGUAAGGACAGGUACAAACAGGAUAGUGGUUCUUC